GAUGAACGCUGGCGGCGUGCCUAAUACAUGCAAGUCGAGCGAACAGACGAGGAGCUUGCUCCUCUGACGUUAGCGGCGGACGGGUGAGUAACACGUGGAUAACCUACCUAUAAGACUGGGAUAACUUCGGGAAACCGGAGCUAAUACCGGAUAAUAUAUUGAACCGCUUGGUUCAAUAGUGAAAGACGGUUUUGCUGUCACUUAUAGAUGGAUCCGCGCCGCAUUAGCUAGUUGGUAAGGUAACGGCUUACCAAGGCAACGAUGCGUAGCCGACCUGAGAGGGUGAUCGGCCACACUGGAACUGAGACACGGUCCAGACGCCUACGGGAGGCAGCAGUAGGGAAUCUUCCGCAAUGGGCGAAAGCCUGACGGAGCAACGCCGCGUGAGUGAUGAAGGUCUUCGGAUCGUAAAACUCUGUUAUUAGGGAAGAACAAAUGUGUAAGUAACUAUGCACGUCUUGACGGUACCUAAUCAGAAAGCCACGGCUAACUACGUG
RNAcentral lists this ribosomal RNA (497 nucleotides) under uncultured bacterium. RNAcentral describes it as "partial 16S ribosomal RNA". It matches the Rfam family "Bacterial small subunit ribosomal RNA", at positions 28 to 507 of the family's 1533-position model. The record is from RNAcentral.